GGCCAGGGUUCUGUGCUCCUGCCUGGCUGGCCUUGUCCCACCGCUCCCUGACCCACUGCCCUGUCAGAGAGGACCCCAGGGGCCAGGGAAUGGCAUCACUUUCCCUUCUGUGGGGCUGGGUGCUCAUGGCUGCCCUGAGCACAGGUGCCAAUGCGAGCUUGGUGGAGCAAAGGCCCAGGUGGGCCCUGGUACGUCGGGGACAGGCUGAAACCCUGAGCUGCUUCCUGAGGGAUGCCCAGUACCCCUGGAUGAGCUGGUACCAACAGGAUCUCCAGGGGCAACUCCAGGUGCUGGCCAGUCUGCGGUUUUCUGGGGACAAGGAGGUCAUAUCCCUUCCUGGAGCGGAUUACCAGGUCACACGGGUUGAUGACAAGGAGCUGAGGCUGCAGGUGGCCAAUGUGACCCAGGGCAGAACCCUGUACUGCACCUGCAGCAAAGACACAGUGAGAAACCCUCCUUAG
Non-coding RNA from Myotis brandtii (Brandt's bat), 461 nucleotides. NCBI's taxonomy places the organism in Eukaryota, Metazoa, Chordata, Mammalia, Chiroptera, Vespertilionidae. The record is from the annotation of a RefSeq genome assembly.